CUUCGGAAUAAGGGGUGCUCCAGAGAUGGAGCCGCAGUGAAUAGGCCCAGGCGACUGUUUAUCAAAAACACAGCUCUCUGCUAAAUCGAAAGAUGACGUAUAGGGGGUGACACCUGCCCGGUGCUGGAAGGUUAAGAGGAAGGGUGCAAGCUCUGAAUUGAAGCCCCAGUAAACGGCGGCCGUAACAAUAACGGUCCUAAGGUAGCGAAAUUCCUUGUCGGGUAAGUUCCGACCCGCACGAAUGGUGUAACGAUCUGGGCACUGUCUCAACGAGUGACCCGGUGAAAUUGAAAUACCUGUGAAGAUGCAGGUUACCCGCGACUGGACAGAAAGACCCCAUGGAGCUUUACUGUAACCUGACAUUGGGUUUUGAUACAUCACGUACAGGAUAGGUGGAGGCAUGGAAGCUGGGACGCUAGUCUCAGUGGAGCCGACGUUGGGAUACCACCCUUGAUGUAUCGGAAUUCUAACCGUAGUAGUAACGACACUCGGGACAGUGUCAGGCGGGCAGUUUGACUGGGGCGUCGCUCCAAGAGUACGAGCGCCUAACCGG
Molecule: ribosomal RNA, 553 nt
Filed under: uncultured Streptococcus sp.
Lineage: Bacteria; Bacillati; Bacillota; Bacilli; Lactobacillales; Streptococcaceae
Description: bacterial LSU rRNA
Rfam family: Bacterial large subunit ribosomal RNA
Source: RNAcentral